AGAAAACGGCCUAAAAAAUCAAUUUCAAGUGAGUUUUCAAUGUGAAAACCACAUUUUCAUGAAGUGGAACUAGGACGGUGUUAUCCCGCGACAAAUUCGUUACGGCUAGAGAGAAAAUAUACAAUUUAGUACGAGCAGGAGAGAAAAUUGACAGCGUCUCGCGAACCUCUGUCUUGGAAAGGUAGAAAGCGAGCUAUUAUGUCGUUUCACUUAGCACACCCUGUUUACGGGCGUCAGCCACUAGAUGUCGUGUUAUUAGUUUUUCGUUGCUCCAGCAGAUGGCAGUACCAUUAACUAUCAUAAAUGUAAUUUUUAAUGAGGUAUUUAAAAAAAGCUCGUGCAGCACUCGGGAACUGCUGCGGUAAAGCGGUUUUGUCUAUGUAGUUUUUCUUCGGGUUUAAAUGUGUAAUAACGGUGGUUUAUUAAGUGUUUCAUAUUCUGUGAAAGUGCACAAAUGUGGGAAAAUGAAAUAAAACUGCUGCAGAUAGCUUCUCGGGAUCCUCCAAAAAGUCUACUGAAAAAAUCUCAGUAAAUGACCACCGUCAUCUCUUUUCAUUUAGUUUCAUCUCAGUUGAUUAAUGACCCAAAUUGAUCAUUUCAUUUCAUUUCACCCCAUAUUAUAAUUUUUCAUAAAAAUAAGAAUAAAAUAAAAAUAAGACAUGACUUAAAGGUCUCUGUUACCAGGUCAUAAAAUCCCUAAAAAAAAAAGAAUCCGAAGUCUGAAUUUAAUGAAGUAAAGAAAAAUUGUGUACAAUGUACGCACAUAUUACCUAUGAACUAAAAGCAAAAUUAUAAAUUUGAUACAAGUGGUUUAAUAGCAUAGGUACCAUAAAGAUAUAGCAGUACAGAACUAUUCAACCGCUUGCGAUACAUAUUAAUGCAAGGAAAUGUGUUUUUAUCUAUUCGUAUUUAAACUUCUUCAUUGAAAUAGCUCAUCGCAUGUCUGGUUAAAAACAAAAAUAAAUUGAAAAUGGCUUUAAAUGUGCUCACAAGGUUAUUAAAACGAAAGGAGUUGUCCAAAUUAUUACCUUACAAACAACAAAUAGUAGAAACAAAUGUAUUUCACACUCACAUUAUUCCCAAGGUUCAAUAUUCUAUAUUGCACAAUCAAAUAUUAAAAGGUACAAAACUACGAGAGCUACAAAUCUUAAGAUUUUAUUCUGUAAAAACUGAGCAGAAAAAGGAAGAUGAUGAUUACAGAAGUGAUAAUAGCAUUACUGUUAUUGGUCAAGAUAUACCCAGUCCUUUUGUUGACAUAGAAGCCAGUGGAUUUCCUGAAUAUAUAAAAACAUUUCUGAAGAUGCAAGGUAUCACAAAACCAACUGUGAUACAGUCACAGGGAUGGCCAAUAGCUUUGAGUGGUAAAAACUUUGUGGGUAUAGCACAAACAGGUACCGGAAAAACAUUGGCUUUUCUUUUACCAGCUGUUGUUCAUAUUAAAGAAAAUAAAGCAAAAAAGGGGCGAGGACCAAUUGUUCUGGUUCUUGCCCCAACUAGGGAAUUGGCAAGACAAAUAGAGCAGGUGGCACAGGAUUUUAAUGAGCAAUUAGGUAUACGCUGUGCUUGUAUUUACGGUGGAGCAAAUAGAAGUAAACAAGCAGCACAGUUACAAGCUGGAGUUGACAUAGUAAUUGCAACUCCAGGAAGACUGAAUGAUUUUCUUAUUACUAAGACAACAACAUUAAGCAGGUGUACAUAUGUGGUGCUAGAUGAAGCGGACCGAAUGCUGGAUAUGGGUUUUGAACCUCAGAUACGUCAAGCUUUAGAAGGAGUACCACUAGAGAGGCAAAUCCUGAUGUUCUCAGCAACAUGGCCAAAGGAAGUCCGCACUCUUGCAAAAGAUUAUUUAGGUGAAUUUGUCCAGGUCAAUGUUGGUUCUACUGAGUUGUCUGCCAACCGCAACAUACAACAAAUUGUCCAUGUAUGUGAACAAGACGAAAAAGCCGAGAAGUUUACAGAGAUAAUGCAUAAAAUAUCUGGUUUAGGUUUUGGUAAAACAUUAGUAUUUACAAACACUAAGAAAUCUGUGGACUAUCUUGAGAGAGUGCUUCGGGGAAAUGGAUGGCCAGCUCUAGGUAUUCAUGGGGAUAGAACACAACUCCAGAGAGAUAUGAUCAUCAACAAAUUUAAAACUGGAAAGACUAAUAUACUAGUAGCUACAGAUGUUGCAGCUAGAGGUCUUGAUGUUGAUGGAGUGACACACGUAGUAAACUAUGACUAUCCCAAUACAUCUGAAGAUUAUAUUCACAGAAUAGGUAGAACAGGGCGUCAAGAUAACAAGGGCAUAUCUCAUUCUAUACUCACUGAAGAAAAUGCAAGACAGGCAAAGGAUUUAAUAGAAGUUUUGAAAGAAGCUAAACAGGUAUGUAUUUUUGUCAUCAAUCAUAGCUGUGGGUAUAUACAUAAAGCAUUAUUGUACUGAUAAUUAUAUAUAUAAACGAAUGAUUUUUUUAACAUUAAUAUAAGUCAAAUUAAAUAAAUCAUUAACUGUGUAAGAGUAUCUAAUUCGCAGAAUAAUCUGUAAACUAUUACAAAUAAUAUUAUUGUAACAUCUUUUGUUAAUUUUCAGGAUAUCCCCAAAGAAUUGUAUGACUUGGCUCGCUCGUUUGACAUCACGAAAUCCACUGAAAAAUUUUACAAAAAGAAAAGCUUCCAGAAGCCGUACAACUUUAGUAAUAAUGCGAGUAAAAAAUGGAACAGAUUUAGAAAUGAUAGAUAUUACUAAGUUAUGUAAUUUCCUUGCAGUUACAGCUAUAUUAAGUAGUGUUCAAUAUCUUGUUUAAUUUUACUAAUGUGAUAAUAAAUAGUUGUGUAGCCGA
Bombyx mori (domestic silkworm) is the source of this 2819-nucleotide RNA transcript. RefSeq lists it as uncharacterized. The transcript has 5 exons. The record is from RefSeq and is a predicted model, not a curated record. NCBI's taxonomy places the organism in Eukaryota, Metazoa, Arthropoda, Insecta, Lepidoptera, Bombycidae.